This 312-nucleotide long non-coding RNA is filed under the name Sorghum bicolor (sorghum). RNAcentral's name for it is "long non-coding RNA (SBIC_LNC005940)". Lineage: Eukaryota; Viridiplantae; Streptophyta; Magnoliopsida; Poales; Poaceae. The record is from RNAcentral.
GUUCGAGAAAAAAGUGGAAUUAUGAGAGUACUUGAAGAGGUACUUCACAAACUCUAGUUUUUUGUGGAACUGCUUCAUGGUGGAAUUUAUAGAGUAGAGUUCAUGAAGCAGUCCCAAACACUCUUUAACUUAUAGUUUUAUUUAUUUAUUUGUUUGUUUGUUUGUUUAUUUAUUAUUUAUUUAUUUUUGAAGGGAGAUAGUAUUACAGGCUCAUAACAUAGAUUAUAAACUAGGUAAGCGAGCCACAUGAGUUUUAUGGGGAUGAAACUCCUCUCUCAUUUUCACGACUAGGGCCAAUACUAUGAAUCACCA